RNAcentral lists this ribosomal RNA (492 nucleotides) under uncultured bacterium. Its description in RNAcentral is "partial 16S ribosomal RNA". It matches the Rfam family "Bacterial small subunit ribosomal RNA", at positions 29 to 507 of the family's 1533-position model. The record is from RNAcentral.
AGUGAACGCUGGCGGUAGGCCUAACACAUGCAAGUCGAACGGCAGCACAGUAAGAGCUUGCUCUUACGGGUGGCGAGUGGCGGACGGGUGAGGAAUACAUCGGAAUCUACUUUUUCGUGGGGGAUAACGUAGGGAAACUUACGCUAAUACCGCAUACGACCUACGGGUGAAAGCAGGGGAUCUUCGGACCUUGCGCGACUGAAUGAGCCGAUGUCGGAUUAGCUAGUUGGCGGGGUAAAGGCCCACCAAGGCGACGAUCCGUAGCUGGUCUGAGAGGAUGAUCAGCCACGCUGGAACUGAGACACGGUCCAGACUCCUACGGGAGGCAGCAGUGGGGAAUAUUGGACAAUGGGCGCAAGCCUGAUCCAGCCAUACCGCGUGGGUGAAGAAGGCCUUCGGGUUGUAAAGCCCUUUUGUUGGGAAAGAAAAGCAGCAGGUUAAUACCCCGCUGUUCUGACGGUACCCAAAGAAUAAGCACCGGCUAACUUCGUG